CCGGUUGAUCCUGCCGGAGAGCACUGCUAUCGGAAUCCGAUUAAGCCAUGCAAGUCGAGAGUCUUAGGGACUCGGCGAACUGCUCAGUAAUACAUGGUUAAUCUGCCCUGUGGUCAGGAAUAACUUCGAGAAAUUGAAGGUAAUGCCUGAUGGGGAUUCAAACCUGGAAUGGUUGAAUUCUUAAAGAUUUAUCGCCACAGGAUGAGACCAUGUCCUAUCAGCUUGUUGGGGGUGUAACGGACCCCCAAGGCUAUUACGGGUACGGGCCAUGAGAGUGGAAACCCGGAGAUGGAUUCUGAGACAUGAAUCCAGAUUCUACGGAAUGCAGCAGGCGCGAAACCUUUACAAUGCACGAGAGUGUGAUAAGGGGAUUCCGAGUGCUGUAGUUAAAACUACAGCUUUUAUCAAGUUUAAAUCGCUUUUUGAAUAAGGGGUGGGUAAGACGGGUGCCAGCCGCCGCGGUAAUACCCGCGCCUCGAGUGGUGUUCACUUUUAUUGGGUUUAAAGCGUUCGUAGCCGGUUUAACAAGUUCCUGGUGAAAUUCCAUUGUAAACAAUGGAGCUUGCUGGGAAAACUGUUAGACUUGGGACUGGGAGAGGGCAGAGGUACUCAUGAGGUAGGGGUAAAAUCCUGUAAUCUUAUGGGGACCACCUGUGGCGAAGGCGUCUGCCUAGAACGGGUCCGACGGUGAUGGACGAAAGCUAGGGGAGCGAUCGGGAUUAGAUACCCCGGUAGUCCUAGCCGUAAACGAUGCCCGUUUGGUAUUGCAUACCUUAAGGGGGUUUGCAGUGCCGUAGUGUAAAUGUUAAACGGGCCACCUGAGGAGUACGGUCGCAAGGCUAAAACUUAAGGGAAUUGGCGGGGGAGCACACCAGGGGUGGAGGCUGCGGUUCAAUUGGAGUCAACGCCGGGAAUCUC
RNAcentral lists this ribosomal RNA (918 nucleotides) under uncultured archaeon. RNAcentral's name for it is "bacterial SSU rRNA". It matches the Rfam family "Archaeal small subunit ribosomal RNA", at positions 4 to 928 of the family's 1478-position model. The record is from RNAcentral.